UACGGAAGGCAGCAGUGGGGAAUAUUGCACAAUGGGCGCAAGCCUGAUGCAGCCAUGCCGCGUGUAUGAAAAGGCCUUCGGGUUGUAAAGUACUUUCAGUCGUGAGGAAGGUGUUAAGGUUAAUAACCUUAGCAAUUGACGUUAGCGACAGAAGAAGCACCGGCUAACUCCGUGCCAGCAGCCGCGGUAAUACGGAGGGUGCGAGCGUUAAUCGGAAUUACUGGGCGUAAAGGGCACGCAGGCGGUUAAUUAAGUUGGAUGUGAAAUCCCCGGGCUUAACCUGGGAAUGGCAUUCAAGACUGGUUAGCUAGAGUCUUGUAGAGGGGGUAGAAUUCCAUGUGUAGCGGUGAAAUGCGUAGAGAUGUGGAGGAAUACCGGUGGCGAAGGCGGCCCCUGGACAAAGACUGACGCUCAUGUGCGAAAGCGUGGGGAGCAAAACAGGGAUUAGAUACC
This 453-nucleotide ribosomal RNA is filed under the name uncultured bacterium. RNAcentral describes it as "bacterial SSU rRNA". It matches the Rfam family "Bacterial small subunit ribosomal RNA", at positions 340 to 786 of the family's 1533-position model. The record is from RNAcentral.